CCUAAUACAUGCAAGUCGAACGGGAAGCCUCGGACUUGUCUGGGGUGGAGAGUGGCGAACGGGUGAGUAACACGUAGGUGACCUGCCUCGAAGAUGGGGAUAACUGUUGGAAACGGCAGCUAAUACCCAAUGCACUCGGUAAUUCGGUUUAUCGAGUAAAGCGCCCCUCACGGGGAUAGCGCUUCGAGAUGGGCCUGCGGCCUAUCAGCUAGUUGGUAGGGUAAUGGCCUACCAAGGCGAGGACGGGUAGGGGGCGUGAGAGCGUGACCCCCCACACUGGCACUGAGACACGGGCCAGACUCCUACGGGAGGCAGCAGUCGGGGAUAUUGCGCAAUGGACGAAAGUCUGACGCAGCGACGCCGCGUGAGUGAUGAAGGCCUUCGGGUUGUAAAACUCUUUUAUGGGGGAAGAGGAAGGACGGUACCCCAUGAAUAAGCGUCGGCUAACUACGUGCCAGCAGCCGCGGUAAAACGUAGGACGCAAGCGUUAUCCGGAUUUACUGGGCGUAAAGAGCGUUGAGGCGGUUCCGUAAGUUGGGCGUGAAAGCCCUCGGCUUAACUGAGGGACGCCGUCCAAUACUGCAGGACUUGAGGGCAGCAGAGGGAGGUGGAAUUCCCGGUGUAGCGGUGAAAUGCGUAGAGAUCGGGAGGAACACCAGUGGCGAAGGCGGCCUCCUGGGCUGCUUCUGACGCUGAAUGCGAAAGCUAGGGUAGCGAACGGGAUUAGAAACCCCGGUAGUCCUAGCUGUAAACGAUGGAUGCUAGGUGUAGGAGGUAUAGAUCCCUUCUGUGCCGAAGCUAACGCGAUAAGCAUCCCGCCUGGGGACUACGGCCGCAAGGCUAAAACUCAAACGAAUUGACGGGGGCCCGCACAAGCAGCGGAGCGUGUGGUUUAAUUCGAUGCUACACGAAGAACCUUACCUGGGUUUGACAUGUAGGUAGUAGUGAAGCGAAAGCGGAACGACCCUUCGGGGAGCCUACACAGGUGCUGCAUGGCUGUCGUCAGCUCGUGCCGUGAGGUGUCGGGUUAAGUCCCGUAACGAGCGCAACCCCUGUCCU
This 1059-nucleotide ribosomal RNA is filed under the name uncultured organism. RNAcentral's name for it is "bacterial SSU rRNA". It matches the Rfam family "Bacterial small subunit ribosomal RNA", at positions 47 to 1111 of the family's 1533-position model. The record is from RNAcentral.